Molecule: ribosomal RNA, 1880 nt
Filed under: human gut metagenome
Description: bacterial LSU rRNA
Rfam family: Bacterial large subunit ribosomal RNA
Source: RNAcentral
UCAAGCUAAAAAGGGCGCAAGGUGAAUGCCUUGGCACUGGGAGCCGAUGAAAGACGUGGUAAGCUGCGAAAAGCUUCGGGGAGGAGCAAACAUCCAUUGAUCCGGAGAUAUCUGAAUGGGGCAACCCAAUGGAGUUCAUACUCCAUUAUCCAAUACUGAAUCCAUAGGUAUUGGAAGGGAACCGCCUGAACUGAAACAUCUAAGUAGGGCGAGGAAGAGACAUCAAACGAGAUUCCGUAAGUAGUGGCGAGCGAACGCGGAAGAGGGCAAACCGAGAGUAGAAAUACUUUCGGGGUACGGACUGCUUUUAAGACUUAAUCUGUUAACCGAACGGCAUGGGAAGGCCGGUCAGAGAGUGUGAGAACCACGUAGGUGAAAACGGAGAGAGCUGCGCAGGAUCCAGAGUACGGCCAGACACGUGAAACCUGGUCGGAAUACGGGGGGACCACCCUCCAACCCUAAAUACUACCCAGUGACCGAUAGCGUAUAGUACUGUGAAGGAAAGGUGAAAAGCACCCCGGGAGGGGAGUGAAAAAGAACCUGAAACCCUGUGCCUACAAGCACCUAGAGCGCGUCAAAGCGUGAUAGGGUACUUUUUGUAGAACGGUCCGGCGAGCGAUUGUAUGCAGCAAGGUUAAGGACUUAAGGUCUGGAGCCGAAGCGAAAGCGAGUUUGAAAAGGGCGUUAAGUUGCAUAUAAUGGGCCCGAAACCGGGUGACCUACCCAUGGUCAGGUUGAAGUGGAAGUAAAAUUCCAUGGAGGACCGAACCGACCUCCGUUGAAAAGGCGGCGGAUGAACUGUGGGUAGCGGAGAAAUUCCAAUCGAACCCGGAGAUAGCUGGUUCUCCCCGAAAUAGUUUUAGGACUAGCCUCAAGUUAGAUACCUGGAGGUAAAGCACUGAAUAGCCUAGCGGCCGAGAGGUUAGCGAAGCUUAUCAAACUCAGAAUGCCAGAGUAUUGAUGCUUGGGAGUCAGACAGUGUCAGAUAAAUGUCAUUGUCAAAAGGGAAACAGCCCAGAUCUACAGCUAAGGUCCCAAAGUCAGGUUAAGUGGAAAACGAUGUGAAGAUACGCAGACAACCAGGAUGUUGGCUCAGAAGCAGCCACUCAUUCAAAGAGUGCGUAAUAGCUCACUGGUCGAGCGUCUUUGCGCGGAGAAUUUAACGGGGCUAAACCUGACACCGAAGCUUAGGCAAUACAGUAAUGUAUUGGGUAGGGGAGCGUUGUAUACGCGGAGAAACAGUAGCGCAAGCGGCUGUGGAGUGUAUAGAAGUGAGAAUGCCGGAAUGAGUAGCGCGAAUGCAGUGAGAAUCUGCAUGGCCGAAAGCCUCAGGUUUCUGGAGGAAGGUUCGUCCGCUCCAGGUUAGUCGGGAGCUAAGGUGAGGCCGGAAGGCGUAGCCGAUGCACAGACGGUAGAGAUUCCGUCACCACCAAAAGAGUUAAGCACAGGGACACAUAUGAAGUCUCAGAGCCGGGUGUUGGUUCCGGUAGAGAUCGAGGGAAGUUAGUACCGAAGUCUGAGAUGGAAGAUGGCGAGAAAAGCUGUGUGUAUUUCUGAGGUGCCCGUACCGCAAACCGACACAGGUAGGUAGGAAGAAGAUUCUAAGGCCAACGGGAGAAGGGUUGUUAAGGAACUCGGCAAAUUGACCCCGUAACUUCGGGAGAAGGGGUGCUCCAGAGAUGGAGCCGCAGAGAAUCGGCCCAAGCAACUGUUUACCAAAAACACAGGUUUGUGCUAAAUCGAAAGAUGACGUAUACGAGCUGACGCCUGCCCGGUGCUGGAAGGUUAAGAGGAGAUGUGCAAGCAUUGAAUCGAAGCCCCAGUGAACGGCGGCCGUAACUAUAACGGUCCUAAGGUAGCGAAAUUCCUUGUCAGGUAAG